GACGAACGCUGGCGGCGUGCUUAACACAUGCCAGUCGAACGGAAAGGCCCUGCUUUUGUGGGGUGCUCGAGUGGCGAACGGGUGAGUAACACGUGAGUAACCUGCCCUUGACUUUGGGAUAACUUCAGGAAACUGGGGCUAAUACCGGAUAGGAGCUCCUGCUGCAUGGUGGGGGUUGGAAAGUUUCGGCGGUUGGGGAUGGACUCGCGGCUUAUCAGCUUGUUGGUGGGGUAGUGGCUUACCAAGGCUUUGACGGGUAGCCGGCCUGAGAGGGUGACCGGCCACAUUGGGACUGAGAUACGGCCCAGACUCCUACGGGAGGCAGCAGUGGGGAAUUUUGCACAAUGGGCGGAAGCCUGAUGCAGCAACGCCGCGUGCGGGAUGACGGCCUUCGGGUUGUAAACCGCUUUCGCCUGUGACGAAGCGUGAGUGACGGUAAUGGGUAAAGAAGCACCGGCUAACUACGUG
Molecule: ribosomal RNA, 468 nt
Filed under: uncultured bacterium
Lineage: Bacteria
Description: partial 16S ribosomal RNA
Rfam family: Bacterial small subunit ribosomal RNA
Source: RNAcentral